CGAACCGAGCAAACGUUAUUCGGAAUCACUGGGCUUAAAGGGCGCGUAGGCGGGCCAUCAAGUCUGUGGUGAAAUCCUCCAGCUUAACUGGAGAACGGCCGCGGAUACUGGUGGCCUCGAGGAAGGUAGGGGGCAUCUGGAACUGGUGGUGGAGCGGUGAAAUGCGUUGAUAUCAUCAGGAACUCCGGUGGCGAAGGCGAGAUGCUGGACCUUUUCUGACGCUGAGGCGCGAAAGCCAGGGGAGCGAACGGGAUUAGAUACCCCGGUAGUCCUGGCCCUAAACGAUGGGUACUAGAUAGUGGACUUGGCAUGGGUUCACUGUCGAAGCAAAGUGCUAAGUACCCCGCCUGGGGAGUAUGGUCGCAAGGCUG
This 371-nucleotide ribosomal RNA is filed under the name uncultured organism. RNAcentral's name for it is "bacterial SSU rRNA". It matches the Rfam family "Bacterial small subunit ribosomal RNA", at positions 526 to 896 of the family's 1533-position model. The record is from RNAcentral.